Molecule: ribosomal RNA, 425 nt
Filed under: uncultured bacterium
Lineage: Bacteria
Description: partial 16S ribosomal RNA
Rfam family: Bacterial small subunit ribosomal RNA
Source: RNAcentral
GUGGGGAAUAUUGGACAAUGGGCGCAAGCCUGAUCCAGCCAUGCCGCGUGAGUGAUGAAGGCCUUAGGGUUGUAAAGCUCUUUCAGUGGGGACGAUAAUGACGGUACCCACAGAAGAAGCCCCGGCUAACUUAGUGCCAGCAGCCGCGGUAAUACGAAGGGGGCUAGCGUUGUUCGGAUUUACUGGGCGUAAAGCGCACGUAGGCGGAUCGUUAAGUCGGGGGUGAAAUCCUGGAGCUCAACUCCAGAACUGCCUUCGAUACUGGCGAUCUUGAGUCCGGAAGAGGUGAGUGGAACUCCUAGUGUAGAGGUGGAAUUCGUAGAUAUUAGGAAGAACACCAGUGGCGAAGGCGGCUCACUGGUCCGGUACUGACGCUGAGGUGCGAAAGCGUGGGGAGCAAACAGGAUUAGAUACCCGGGUAGUCC